CUUGGUCAUUUAGAGGAAGUAAAAGUCGUAACAAGGUUUCCGUAGGUGAACCUGCGGAAGGAUCAUUAAUGAAUUGUUAGGACGCUCUUUUUAGAGGUCCGACCCCUUCAUUUCCUUACACUGUGCACACACUUCUUUUUCACACAUUUUAACACAUCAGUUUAAAGAAUGUAAAUAGUCUCUUAAUUGAGCAUAAAAUAAAUAAAACUUUCAGCAACGGAUCUCUUGGCUCUCGCAUCGAUGAAGAACGCAGCGAAUUGCGAUAAGUAAUGUGAAUUGCAGAAUUCAGUGAAUCAUCGAAUCUUUGAACGCACCUUGCACUCUUUGGUAUUCCGAAGAGUAUGUCUGUUUGAGUGUCAUGAAACUCUCAACCCCCUUGUUUUGUAAUGAAACGAGCGUGGGCUUGGAUUAUGGCUGUUUGUCGGCGUCAUUGCCGGCUCAGCUGAAAUACACGAGCAACCCAUUUGAAAUAGGCGGUUUGACUCGGCGUAAUAAUUAUUUCGCUGAGGACGUCUUCUUUAAAGUUGAUGGUGCUUCUAAUGCGCUUUAAUUAAGCAUCUUAAGCUUUAGACCUCAAAUCAGUCAGGACUACCCGCUGAACUUAAGCAUAUCAAUAAGCGGAGGAAAAGAAACUAACAAGGAUUCCCCUAGUAACGGCGAGUGAAGUGGGAAAAGCUCAACUUUGAAAUCUGGCACCUUCGGUGUCCGAAUUGUAGUCUCUAGAAGUGUUUUCCGUGCUGGCCCAUGUGUGAGUCUGUUGGAACACAGCGUCAUAGAGGGUGACAACCCCGUUCAUAACAUGGACCCCAGUACUUUGUGAUACACUCUCGACGAGUCGAGUUGUUUGGGAAU
This 852-nucleotide small RNA is filed under the name uncultured Occultifur. RNAcentral describes it as "eukaryotic LSU rRNA". The stretch from base 569 to 852 matches the Rfam family "Eukaryotic large subunit ribosomal RNA", at positions 1 to 281 of the family's 3401-position model. Lineage: Eukaryota; Fungi; Basidiomycota; Cystobasidiomycetes; Erythrobasidiales; Erythrobasidiaceae. The record is from RNAcentral.